CUACUUGUGUAUCAAGGAUCGUUUGCCCAUCACAUUUCUUUCUCGCACAUCGUGCGAGCUGCUGGGCGCAGAGGUCACAUUCUGUAGUGUUUGGUCGUCACCACAAUGAUACGAUAUCCAUAUGCCUAAAGAAAGCUUUUUCUGUCUUUCUUCCUGCACAACGCCUGCCGUACCACGCUUUUGCCCAACACAGAUUGCUUUCACAAACAUGCAAAAUCGGAGCACGUGAGCUGAGCAGGCAAUGGAACUUCGGGUACCGGAAAAGUUUCCACUGUAUGCAUAACAAAUGAACCCAGCAGCCCUCCUUAGUGAGACAGAAAUGCCCAGGUGGAGCCCACUCACAUCAAUGCCUGCAAGUGAAACUGUGUCAACACUCAGAAAGCCAGUCAUGCUGCCAGUGCCAUAGCGCAACGAAAUGGCUGUACCAUUCUUACGCUCCUGUUCACGACCGGCCGAUGCUGGUGACAACAAGGGCGGAGCGCCGUUCGUGACCACUGACAAAGCACCAAAAGGAAUAGCAUUAAAAUGCAACCUCUAAUAUAUUAUCCCGGCCCUCUAUUGCACAUUUUACCGAGUCUUGGACGGCCGUUUUCUUCAACUCUGUAUGCCUCGCCUUUAAAACGGGGUCAUCUUUAGUUAAAGAAGAGAUGGAGCCAGAUGGCAA
Long non-coding RNA from Dermacentor silvarum, 664 nucleotides. RefSeq lists it as uncharacterized. The record is from RefSeq and is a predicted model, not a curated record. Lineage: Eukaryota; Metazoa; Arthropoda; Arachnida; Ixodida; Ixodidae. The transcript is spliced from 3 exons.